This 6354-nucleotide long non-coding RNA is filed under the name Homo sapiens (human). RNAcentral's name for it is "HSALNT0354637". The record is from RNAcentral. Lineage: Eukaryota; Metazoa; Chordata; Mammalia; Primates; Hominidae.
UAUCUCCCUUUCCCUUUUUCUCUCUGUCCCUCCCUCCUUCUUCCUCUCUAUUCUUCCCCUCCCCUUGUUUUUAUGCCUGAUUAUGUGGACACAGACAAGGAUUAAAACAGGGCACCUGCCCUUGAGGAGUUUACAAUCUGCUGGGCUGAGGAUCAACACAUGUUCAAAAAGAGAGGAAAGAAGUCAAGGGAGAUCAUGCCAGAUGGACUUAAUUUCAAUGAAGAACAGGGUCUUCCUGCCUGUAAGAAGGAGGCACUCUCUGCUUCUGUCAUGUGCUAAGCUUCGUCAAACAGAUUAUCUCUCUAAAGGUAGAGGCCUGUGAUUGACCGCUGUACCAAUGACUGAGCAGACAUAAAAGUCAGCCUGGAUGGCUACCACCACUAAUCAGAUUUGUCUGCUGAUGCAAGGCCCUUCAGUCAUUCCAGAACUGGUAAAUGGAGUCACCCUGAGGACAGGCCCUGCUGCUGAUUGAUGUCCAGUGUGGGCAGCUCUCUUGGCUGCUCAACAUUCAGAGAGGCUCUCCUUGUUUCAGUGCUAAAUGAUUGACAGUCAGGGUGAGUAUUUCAGGAGGAAGAGUCCCCCGCCCACUCCAGCCAUGUGGCAAAGGUAUUUGCUUCCUUGGGAAGGAAGUGAUUUAUCUGUGGGAGAACACUGUUUGGGCAAAGUUGCGUAGGAACAGCGUCUGUCUCUGCAAGCAUGUGUGUAUGUGAGUGUGGGCAUAAAGCAGCAAGAGUGGAAGGUAAAGACAACGUGAACGUCAUAAAAGAACACUUCUUUUUACAAAUGCUUGAAAACAUUCGAUGCUGAAAGACUUCAGACCACAUAAAUGAAUUUGCACCUAAUUCAACAUAGCUAUACUUCUUUCUUUUUCAGAAUUAAUGAGCCUGCCUUAUCAUUAGUUUUAUCAUAGAAACUAUCACAGAGAAGAAACCAUCUUAGAGAGAAAUCGGUGGAAGACAAGAUGAAAAAGGAAAAAUAAAAAAGACUGGAGGCAGGGGAACAUGGAGAAUGCAAGUGUGUUUGCAUUUGCACCAAGUUUGAGUUGAAAGGCUUUAUAAGGAUUUUGAGCAGCUGUAUAAGUAGUUAGAGCUAGAUAUGUGUAUAUGUGUUGCCAUUAACCAAGUUACUUCAACAUUAGCCUUAUGAUUAUAUGCCCUAGCAUUCAGAUUCAAGGAAGAAACAGUUUCUCUGGAGAAUUUUGUUCCUUAGUGACUGAUUUCAGUUGAUUUCAAGGUAAGCCAGGUAUGUAACUAACUUUUUAAAUUUAGAUGAAUAUAAGUUUAUGUUAUUAAUGAUUAUUUGUUUAUUCAUAAAAUUGACACUGACAUGUUACUAAAAUACAAGAAUCUCAAUUUUAUAUUGAAGAAAUUAAUUCAUUAGGUCAAACACAUAAAAAUUCUGAAGUGAAAAUGAUUCAUGUGUCAAGUGGUCAUAAUGUAAGACCCCAGUAAAUAUUCCACAGUAGGUUGAGCUAAUGGCAGUUGCUUCUCAGUACACAUUCAAACAUAUUUUCUCACAAUCUAGAGAGUUCAUCUACACUGGGCAGAAAGGGCUAGAUUGAUUAGCAACCAAAGGCCUGAGCUCCAUCGCUGGUUGCAUAACAAUAGCUGUGUGACCUUUGAUAAGGUGCUUAGCCUCUCUAUGCCACUGCUUUCUCACCUGUCAUGUAAGUGUAACAAUGUCUUUCUCACCUGUCUCAUAUUAUUGCUAUGCAGAAGAAAUGAGAUUUCAUUCUGGAAGUUCUUUAAGCCCCUGAACAAAAUGCAAGUUUUUAUGGAUCCACACACACAUACACUAUUCAUGAUCAUGAAUACAUAAUGUACUCUGUUUUGAAUAUGCUGUAGGUGUUUUGUGCUUUGAAUGCUUGUGCCUGGAGAUCCCAGCCCAUAACAGCACACAAUAGGUGUCCCCUGUGGGGGUAACCCACAGAGUAUAACUCCCAGAGUAUAACCCAGGUGAUAUUCUGCCACACCUGUGCUCUGACAGAUGGUGGUGUGGAGAGAGAAAUUUGCCACAUCAACACAUGCCAAGGUAAGGAGAACAGAGCCACGUAAUAGCAACACCAAAGCCUGUCUGUCCAUUAAGCCAAGUCAAAUGCCACUUUCUUCACAUAGCUUUCUGGGGCUUCUUUCUCCUCCUGAAGGAAUUAAUUUCUUCUGAAUCUGUGUACUUGUUUCACUCUGUCGAUGUGGCCUUGAACUUUCCGUACCCAUGCCAACCCCAACAGCAUUCAGCUGGCACCCAAUAAAUAGGAUUCCAGCUCUCUUAGAGUCUGCAGCCUCAGUUCUGAAAUUCUGGCCUGACCCUGAGUCAUUCCUCAGAUUAGAUUUCACCCUAUUUGUAUUCUCCUGCCUUGCAACUUCCAGCCAAGUCAAUACAUAGUUACCAAGCACUUGCUAUUUGCUAGGAGUGUGCUAAAUUAUGGGGUACGGUAAUGGACAAUAAUUCAUGUCUUUUGCUCUCUUGAAGAUUAGAACCUAAUGAGGCUAUAAACAAUUAAACAAUUUCAAUCUUCAAACUAAGGAAUUUAUAGGGAAAUUUUCAAAAAGGGUCCAGUAUGAGAUAUAUGAGAUCUAUGGGCUGAGAAGGUGUUAAUUAGGUGAAAGUCUGUUUAGAAAGGCAGAAUGUUCCAAGUAAUACAUCUAGGCAACAAAGGAGAACCUGUUACAUUUAAGAAAUGGAAAGACACUCGGUUUGGACAAAGCUAAGUACUAAGCAAAAGCCAACUUCUUUACCUAUUUCUCUACUUCCAGCUUCACCUUAUAUUUGGUACCUUCAUACUUAAUGUUGGGCUCUGUAACUCCCUCCUGUACAGCCUCUUAAUCACCUCCCCAGUUUGGUCAACACCAAGAUCCCAGUUCCUUUUGAUCCCCAAACGGACUAAUUUCCUCUUGCCUUAUAAAUGGAAACUGAUCUGUCUCAAUGUUUUUUUUUUUAACAUGUAAUUUGCAUCACAAUGAUCCAAUUUGAGGGCACAUAUUAUUUUUCUUAUCAGACUGCCAAGGAACAGAUGAUCUUUGUAUUUCCUCCCAAGUACCUAGAAUAGUGCCUAACAAUACAUUUGUAUUUUCCUAUAACAAAUUUCUAUCAUGUCACUUUCUGGUUUAAAAUCCUUCAGUGACUCUGCAGUACAUUUUAGGACAAAACCCUAUUCCAAAAUACAGGCCACAAGUCCCUCAUGUUCCAGCCCCAUUAGCCUGCCAGCCUCACCAAAGGCAGAAGCCCUUUGCCCUCCUCACUUCCCCUUCCACUUACAGGAAGCACUCAACUUCUCAAGGCUUCUUGCUCCUUCCUGCCUUUGAGCUCCCUCACAUGCCAUUCUUUCUGCUUGCCCCACCCAGCCCCACCCAGCCAGACUCAGCCCUUCACUGUGGCUCAUCUUGGAGGUCUCAGGUUACAUAUCACUUCACAGGAAGGCUUUCCCCAAUACUCACUUAGUUGCUACUGCUACAAUAUGGCACUUAUUAUGCUUUACUGAAAUUACUUGUUGAAAUGUUUAUCUCUCCUGCUGAGGGUAUCUCAGCCUUGGUAUGAUUGACAUUUUGGACCAAAUCAUUCUUUGUGGCGGGGGCUGUCUUGUACAUGGUAGGUUGUUUAGCAGCAUCCCUGGCCUCUACCCGCUAGAUGCCAGUAGCACCUUCCCCAGUUAUGACAGCCAAGAAUGUCUGCAGACGUUGCUAAAUGUCUCCUGGGGGGGCAGUCACAUCCAUUUGAGAGUGACUGUGCCAGAUCAUUGAGAAGGUAAGGACUGUGUCUUGAAUAAGUAGUGAAUACCACUGUAUCACAACCUGGCAUUUAGUGGAAGGCUACUGAUCAUGUGUUGCAUGAAUGAAUAGAAGUUUUUACUAUAAGCUCCUACUGAAUGAAUGAAUAUUAGUAAGAAAACUGUGUCAGAAACACUGGUAGUUCAGAACCCUGCAUUUUUAUUUAAUGAAGGGUGGAACCUGCAAGAACAUGGUGGUCUCUUACUUUGGAACCUGUCUCCUCCUUGCCUGUUAAUCGGUCCUGGUCCUCUAUUCCCCCCACCCCCAAACAUACCUCUUUGGGCUGCCCUGUCCACCCAUCUCCCCUCUACCAAGCAGAAAAAAAAGGUUCCAGCUCCCUGAGCUUUCUUCUUCAAAGACAUUUAAGCUUUUAAUGCGAAUCCUGAUUAAUUAACAAGGGCACGGGACUUACAUGCAUUUCAAGUUGCUUUUAUCUCGUGAAGAAAAGAAGCCUUUUGGCAGAUACUUUCUGUUCAAUGUCUAGUUCAGUAUUUCAAAGGGCAAGCUGUGAUGGGCUGAGCGGGUUACCAUUUGUGUGUGUGUGAAGGGCAAUGACUAGUAAUUAAGGGACAGACCCCUUUAUGUCAACUUAAGAAAAAAAAUUAAUCUCAGCUUCAUUUCAAGCUGGGUUUGGUGUUGAAGGGCAGAAGCAAAAUAGAAAGGGGGUACACUGUAUGGUAAUGGCUGGAUCUCUUUGGCUUUGAAUGAAAAAGCUAAUAUUUGUUGAGAACCUACUGUAUACUAUAUCAGAUCCCCCCAGAACCCUGUGGAAGAGUCAAUAUAAUUUAAUUUUACAAAAACAAAGUUUGGGAGGCAUCAAGUUAUUUGUCCAAAAUACAACAAAUAGUCCAGCCAUAUUCAGAAUAUGGUAGAUCUGAAUACAUUCUUUCAUCCAAAACUUCCGGCUUAGUCAAUUGUCUGCUGCUAUAAUAGAUACCACAGACUGGGAAAUUUAUGAAGAAAAGAAAUUUAUUUGGCUUAUGGUUCUGGAGGAUGGACAGUCCAAGGUCAUGACACUUGGAUCUGUUCGGCCAUCUGGUGAAGACCUUGUUGCAUUCUCCCAUGGUGGAAAGAAGAAAGCAAGUGAGUACAAGAGAUAGAGAAAGAUAAGGGCAGAACUUACUCUCUUAUCAGGAGUCCGCUUCUAUAACCCAUUCUAAAAAUAAAGCAUUAAUCCAUUCAUGAGGGUAGAGCCCUCAUAACCUAUCACCUCUAAAGAUCCCACUUCUUAAUACUGUCACAAUGGCAAUUAAAUUUUAACGUGAGUGUUGUAGGGAACAUUCAAACAACAGCAACUACAACAACAACAGACGUCAGCUCCUGUGUGUCUUCCCUUGCUCAUCUAUGCCUACCAGAAUAGAAUGAAAGAAGGGUUUAUUUGAUCCUGUGUUCAAGUCAUUCAUUUAUUCCACUAGGCAAUCUGUCAAGAUCUCAUAGAUUAAGGGCUCCUACAGCAACCUGUACUCACCCUAUUUUACCCUUUAUCAUACAUUUUUGAUCAUGCAUGUGAUGGCUGGAACUCAGUCAUUUUGGACCAUGAAGACCAGACCCACACGCUGGGGCCUAAGAAGCAGAAGUAUGAAAGCCACCUGGAUCCCUGAAGACCAUGGAAUUGUUAGAACAAUUCUACUCUAUCUGUAGACUUGUUUUAUUUGAAAGAUAAGUAGAUUUCUGUCUUAUUCAAUUCACUGAUUUUGGUUCUUUGUUAUUUGCAAUCAAAUCUAAUUCCAGUAGAUACAACUCCUAAGUGCAGAGCACUGUUCUAGGGAUUGUGGGGCAUGCUGACAUGGGUCUCAUGCCUGCAUAGCACUCAUAGCCUGCAGAAGAACAGCAGUGCUGCCAUAUCUGAUGGUCAUUUGACACACUGAACUCCAGCCAUAUCAAUUUUCUUUUCAGUCCCCAAAUGGCAGUCACCACAAAAGAAGAAAAGAUAAAGCUCUUAGUGGGAUCUGAAUCAAGAGAUACCACUUACAGUGGAAGGAAAAAAGAUCAUUUUCAUGGAGGAACUGCCCUUGAAUUUCGCCUUGAAUAUUGAUGAGUAUUGGAAUCUGCAGAGACUGGGAUAAGGUUGGGAUGAGGUCGAACACUACAGGAACAGAAAAUAUGGAACAUGUUUGGGAGCAGGCCAGGGAUUCUGUCAUAUAAAGUGCAUGAAAAAGCAUAUCAUGUAAUAUUUAUGAUUAUUGCUCUGGAGUUAGACUGUUUGGGUUUGAAUCCCAGAUCCAGUGUUUACUAUCUAUGUGACCUCGGCUGAGUCAUGAACUUCCAUGAGCUCCAUUCUUCUCACCUUUAAAAUGAAGAUCACAACUCCUACCUUCUUGGCUUGUUACCAGAAUUAAAUGAGUUUUUAUGUGUGGAGGGCUCAUGAGAGUGGCUGUCCCAAAUAAGCAUUCUCUAAAUGUUAGAUAUGACUGUCAUCCCCUUAAAACUGCAAGAGUUAGUUGAAACCAUAGCAAGCCGAGCCAUGAAUGCCAUGUUAAUGCAUGUUAAUGCCAUUAUUAUAAAGGUACCAAAAAGCUGCUGACAGUUUGUGAGCAAAGUUGUGGAUGACAUUAUCAGAGCUGUAUUUUAGGAAGUCUUAAUAUGUCAA